UACGUAGGGACCAAGCGUUGUUCGGAUUUACUGGGCGUAAAGGGCGCGUAGGCGGCGUGUUAAGUCAGCUGUGAAAUCUCCGAGCUUAACUUGGAACGGUCAGCUGAUACUGAUGUGCUAGAGUGCAGAAGGGGCAAUCGGAAUUCUUGGUGUAGCGGUGAAAUGCGUAGAUAUCAAGAGGAACACCUGAGGUGAAGACGGGUUGCUGGGCUGACACUGACGCUGAGGCGCGAAAGCUAGGGUAGCAAACGGG
This 253-nucleotide ribosomal RNA is filed under the name uncultured bacterium. RNAcentral describes it as "partial 16S ribosomal RNA". It matches the Rfam family "Bacterial small subunit ribosomal RNA", at positions 524 to 776 of the family's 1533-position model. The record is from RNAcentral.